AUGACCAGAUACUUCUGCUGUCUCAGUAUUCCUUCUAUACGGCGAAACUGCGAAUGGCUCAUUACUGAGUUAUAGUUUAUUUGAUGGUCAUUCAUUACAUGGAUAACCGUGGUAAUUCUAGAGCUAAUACAUGCGCUCAAGGCCAACUUCGUGGAGUGGUUGUGUUUAUUAGAUACAGAACCAACCCAGGCUCCGCCUGGCCUUGAGGUGAUUCCUAAUAACCGAACGAAUCGCAUGGCUAUGCCGGCGAUACACCGUUCAAGUUUCUGACCUAUCAGCUAUCCUCCGUAGGGUAUUGGCCUACCGUGGCAAUGACGGGUAACGGAGAAUUAGGGUUCGAUUCCGGAGAGGGAGCCUGAGAAACGGCUACCACAUCUAAGGAAAGGAGCAGGCGCGCAAAUUACCCAAUCCUGACACCGGGAGGUAGAGACAAGAAAUAACUAUACAGGGCAUACAUGUCUUGUAAUUGGAAUGAGUAAACUUUAAAUCACUUUACGAGU
RNAcentral lists this ribosomal RNA (500 nucleotides) under uncultured eukaryote. RNAcentral's name for it is "SSU rRNA". It matches the Rfam family "Eukaryotic small subunit ribosomal RNA", at positions 40 to 542 of the family's 1831-position model. The record is from RNAcentral.